GAAGGAGCAGCAGCAGUGAUGUUGGCCACAGGUGGAAGUGGAGGGUCAACAACGUCUGAAACCUGGAGGGGUGGAAGAGGUGUUUCUGCUGGUGGCUGUGCUUCACGAGGAACCAAGGAAAGUAGAGAACCUGCUUGUGCUGUUCCCGGGUACUCAGUUAUGAUCCCAUCAACUUCGGCUCCUCCAACAAAAGUAGCAAUCUCCGCAAUAGGGUCCGAGAAGUAGUCAAAUGGGAGUGUGAUGUACUCAUUCCUCAGGACAUAGGCAUAGACUGAGAUAUUUUCUUUCUGAAACUCCCCAACAACAUUGGUCAAAGCUGUGGUGAAGUACUCAUUAAUCUGAAUGAUGGAUGACCUUGAAAUGGCAACUGCAUCAGCAAACUUCUUGAUUUCCUGCACUGGCUGUUUGGGUGCAUCACCGAUUUUGUCUUCAAUUGACAACACUCUCUUAUAGGUUGGCACAUUCAUGAACUUGGACAGCACUGAAGUGUCAUCGGAUUGGAUCAAUACUUGUUGAGUGGAUUGUUUGUCGAAGGUGGCAUUGCUCAAGGCAGUGGUAACGGCACCUACAAUGUCAAGCCCCUUCUUUGAUGCUAGGUAGGCAGCAUUCUGAGAAAGAAAUGUAAGCAUCAAUUUUUGGAAAUAUAAAUUGGAAAACCUUGGAGCUGAGACAUGAUCGAGAAUAGUGUCUAUGUGGGUUUAAUUUGAUUUGAUUUGACAUGGUGAACAAUAACGUUUUAUAGAAAGACACCAGAUAUUAAACUUACCUGAAUGUUGAUCAGAACUCCAGAAACUGCCAUUGUUUUUGCCAAAUCCAGAAAUUCAGGAAGGCUUGUAAAUUUACCAGCAUUCUUGUACGCUGGGUUUCUUUGGAAGUCCUGGUAAACACUUGCGAUUUGAGCUGCAAUAUGAAAGUUUCAGGCAUAAGUAGGAUUAGAAGCUUAGGAAACCUGCAUGGGUGCAGUGAAUGGAAGAAAAGAGAAGAUCUUUUUAAGAAAUUUACGCUUCAAGGUUUGAAUCUCGCUCCAUGUUAGGUCAAAUGAAAAGACUCCAGCCUUCGGUUGGAUUUCUGGGACAGUAGUAGACCUAGACAUGAAAGUAGUCAUGGCAGUAGUAUCUCCCACGAGGUCAGCUGUAUCCAAGCAAAAGGUCACUCCGUCCUUUGACAUUUGAACCGAACAGUCUAUUAUGUCUGCCCCGUCAUCUACUGCUUGCUGAUAAGCAAGAUCGGUGCUGCCAGGAUAGAUUCCACUUGCUCCAUUUUUAGUGAUGAUCAAAGCUUUUCCUGAAAAUGCACCAACUUUUCGUUAGCAAAUGACUCUUUCUUUAUCUUCUGGACUUUAUCUAAGAAAAUUUAAGGUUGUAAUAUGUGCUUUGGGAAAGAUUUAAGACUAGUAUCAUACCCUUGAUGGGCUUGCUCGCAUUUUUCUUAUUUGCAAAGCAUCCUGCGCCAAGAAGCCAAAAGCAUUGGCAGGGUCAGACCAUAACUCAAGAACCAUUGGAAUGCUGAUCUAUAUUCUUGAGCUAAACGUUGGGUUCCCAUAUGGUAUAUUUUCAAUUUACGGGAUUGUUAUGCAACUCAUGAAAUGAAACGUUCAGGGAAAGCAUAGAUUAAGGCUUGGCAGUUCGGAUAUCUCACCAAUGGCUUCUGAUGCUGUAGGGGGGAAAUCUGUAAGCACCCCAUCAACAGAAAACUCAGAAUUAUCAACAAACUGAAUGUAUUCAUUUGUCGGAUCAUAACUAUAGUUAUAGCUUGCAACAAGAUCAUUUGCGAAACCAGACGCAUAUACUUCUAGCCCUUGUUUGUGAGCAUCAGAUACAAGCGUAGUAGGAGCUCCUAAAUACUUGUUUGCCUGUACCGGCCAUAUGUAUUCUUUGGGAACAAGGAUUCCAGAUGCAAAUGACUUGAUCGAGGCAAGAUCCUGCAGCAGUAAACUGUACUUUUUAUUGGAUGUGGGUUCAAUCUCAUCUGCACCAAGGAACUGGAAGACGAGCUUUGUCUUGACUUUGUUCACUUGGCCAGCCAUGCUCUUCAAGAAACCGAUCUCAGGAGAUGAAAGGUAGUUGAUACCCAUAAGUCUCAUUGCCUUUUGAACAUAUGAUGCCGCGCUGUGGUUGUGUUGUGUAUUGAAUGAAUCAUACUGCAUACCAAAGCCAUCUUAGAAAAUAAUGAAUGAAUGAUGGUCUAGAUUGAGUUUAGACGGAGAGAGACCUGAACAUUCAACCAAAAUUGGGCUGGUUUAAUUCCCGUCACAUCAUCAACAGCGGAAAUAGGUGAUUGUAAAUCAAACAAACUUGGUCGAGAGAGUACGCCCUGAGUCACUGUUAAGAAGAUCAUCACAAAACAAAUAGCUGAUCGAUUGUAUAAUCCACAGCAAACCAUCCGUGCACUUGCUUUCCAUUUACAUCGUAGGUCUUCUGCCCCUUUGGGUAUACCAUUGCUAUAUUGGUUGAAUUAUCGAGCCUGAUAUCCGAGAGGCAUAUACCAAUGCCAUCUUUUGUUAGUUGUAGAUUGCAGAACAACACCGUAUCCGGCAGACUCAAAGUCUGUGCCAUUUGAUUUGCAAAUGAGCUCGACUCCGGAAACAGUCCUGAGAACCCGCCUCUGGCUAUCACAAGGGGCCGUUCACCUGCAGCAAGUACAAUAAAGGAUGGAUUAUUACCAUUUAGAGUUAGCCAUUUCUGUGAUGGAGCCUCUGCCAACUUUUUCCCUGAAGUUGAAUGGAUCAGCACAGAAAUGAAAAGUAAGAUCCUGAUCAUCUUCUUCUGAUGAGCCUGUCAUGGAUUAAAAAGUUACUUGGUCAAUGAACAACAUGAAACAGAAGGACAUGCAAAGAAAAGGAACAUUACAAUGACUUGCACUACUCAAAUUUCAAUUACUUUUUUUUUGUUGUUGGGGAGGGGGUAGAGCAUUUGGCAUACUUUCAAAUCUGUGAGUUAGAACUGAAGGGCAUGAAUGUAGUAGCCAUAAUAACAUGUAACUUCCUUGCAUAUUAAUGCAGACAGUUUUUCUU
Molecule: long non-coding RNA, 3013 nt
Organism: Juglans microcarpa x Juglans regia
Lineage: Eukaryota; Viridiplantae; Streptophyta; Magnoliopsida; Fagales; Juglandaceae
Exons: 4
Source: RefSeq, a predicted model, not a curated record